This 255-nucleotide ribosomal RNA is filed under the name uncultured bacterium. Its description in RNAcentral is "partial 16S ribosomal RNA". It matches the Rfam family "Bacterial small subunit ribosomal RNA", at positions 524 to 776 of the family's 1533-position model. The record is from RNAcentral.
UACGAAGGGUGCAAGCGUUACUCGGAAUUACUGGGCGUAAAGCGUGCGUAGGUGGUUUGUUAAGUCUGUUGUGAAAGCCCCGGGCUCAACCUGGGAAUGGCAAUGGAUACUGGCAGGCUAGAGUGCGGUAGAGGGUAGUGGAAUUCCCGGUGUAGCGGUGAAAUGCGUAGAGAUCGGGGAGGAACACCAGUGGCGAAGGCGGCUACCUGGACCAGCACUGACACUGGAGGCACGAAAGCGUGGGGAGCAAACAGG